GAUGAACGCUGGCGGCGUGCUUAACACAUGCAAGUCGAACGAAGCAUUUGCGACAGAUUUUUUCGGAAUGAAGUUGCUUAUGACUGAGUGGCGGACGGGUGAGUAACGCGUGGGUAACCUGCCUUGUACUGGGGGAUAGCAGCUGGAAACGGCUGGUAAUACCGCAUAAGCGCACAAUGUUGCAUGACAUGGUGUGAAAAACUCCGGUGGUAUAAGAUGGACCCGCGUCUGAUUAGCUAGUUGGUGAGAUAACAGCCCACCAAGGCGACGAUCAGUAGCCGACCUGAGAGGGUGACCGGCCACAUUGGGACUGAGACACGGACCAGACUCCUACGGGAGGCAGCAGUGGGGAAUAUUGCACAAUGGAGGAAACUCUGAUGCAGCGACGCCGCGUGAGUGAAGAAGUAAUUCGUUAUGUAAAGCUCUAUCAGCAGGGAAGAUAGUGACGGUACCUGACUAAGAAGCUCCGGCUAAAUACGUG
This 481-nucleotide ribosomal RNA is filed under the name uncultured bacterium. RNAcentral describes it as "partial 16S ribosomal RNA". It matches the Rfam family "Bacterial small subunit ribosomal RNA", at positions 28 to 507 of the family's 1533-position model. The record is from RNAcentral.